RNAcentral lists this ribosomal RNA (250 nucleotides) under uncultured delta proteobacterium. RNAcentral's name for it is "partial 16S ribosomal RNA". It matches the Rfam family "Bacterial small subunit ribosomal RNA", at positions 524 to 773 of the family's 1533-position model. Lineage: Bacteria; Deltaproteobacteria. The record is from RNAcentral.
GACGAGGGGUCCUAGCGUUGUUCGGAAUCACUGGGCGUAAAGCGUAUGUAGGCGGGCUUUUAAGUCGGGUGUGAAAUCCCACGGCUCAACCGUGGAAUUGCAUUCGAAACUGGAAGUCUUGAGUGUGGGAGAGAUUGGUAGAAUACCUAGUGUAGUGGUGAAAUACGUAGAUAUUAGGUGGAAUACCGGUGGCGAAGGCGGCCAAUUGGCCCAACACUGACGCUGAGAUACGAAAGCGUGGGGAUCAAAC